UUGAACGCUGGCGGCAUGCUUUACACAUGCAAGUCGAACGGUAACAGGCCGCAAGGUGCUGACGAGUGGCGAACGGGUGAGUAAUGCAUCGGAACGUGCCCAGUCGUGGGGGAUAACUACUCGAAAGAGUAGCUAAUACCGCAUACGAUCUAUUGAUGAAAGCGGGGGACCGUAAGGCCCCGCGCGCUUUGAGCGGCCGAUGUCAGAUUAGGUAGUUGGUGGGGGAAAGGCUCACCAAGCCAACGAUCUGUAGCUGGUCUGAGAGGACAACCAGCCACCCUGGGAGUGAGACACGGCCCCGACUGCGACGGGAAGGCGCAGUGGGGAAUUUUGGGCAAUGGGGGGGAGCCUGAUACAGCAAAGGCGGGGGGAAGAAGAAGGGCUUCCGGUUGGUAAACGGUUUUGUACGGAACAAAACGGCUUUGGUUAAUACCCGGGGAUAAUGACGGUACCGUAAGAAUAAGCACCGGCUAACUACGUG
Molecule: ribosomal RNA, 481 nt
Filed under: uncultured bacterium
Lineage: Bacteria
Description: partial 16S ribosomal RNA
Rfam family: Bacterial small subunit ribosomal RNA
Source: RNAcentral